RNAcentral lists this ribosomal RNA (459 nucleotides) under uncultured bacterium. RNAcentral's name for it is "partial 16S ribosomal RNA". It matches the Rfam family "Bacterial small subunit ribosomal RNA", at positions 338 to 795 of the family's 1533-position model. The record is from RNAcentral.
CCUACGGGAGGCAGCAGUGAGGAAUAUUGGUCAAUGGGCGCGAGCCUGAACCAGCCAAGUAGCGUGAAGGAUGACUGCCCUACGGGUUGUAAACUUCUUUUAUAAAGGAAUAAAGUGAGGCACGUGUGCCUUUUUGUAUGUACUUUAUGAAUAAGGAUAGGCUAACUCCGUGCCAACAGCCGCGGUAAUACGGAGGAGCCGAGCGUUAUUCGGAUUUAUUGGGUUUAAAGGGAGCGUAGAUGGGUUGUUAAGUCAGUUGUGAAAGUUUGUGGCUCAACCGUAAAAUUGCAAUUGAUACUGGCAGCCUUGAGUACAGUGGAGGUAGGCGGAAUUCGUGGUGUAGCGGUGAAAUGCUUAGAUAUCACGAAGAACUCCGAUUGCGAAGGCAGCCUACUAAACUGCCACUGACAUUGAUGCUCGAAAGUGUGGGUAUCAAACAGGAUUAGAUACCCGGGUGUC